RNAcentral lists this non-coding RNA (126 nucleotides) under uncultured Lachnoclostridium sp. Its description in RNAcentral is "THF riboswitch". It matches the Rfam family "THF (Tetrahydrofolate) riboswitch aptamer". From Rfam's summary of the family: THF riboswitch presents a pseudoknot that joins P1-P2 and the loop of P3 and two THF binding. The record is from RNAcentral. Lineage: Bacteria; Bacillati; Bacillota; Clostridia; Lachnospirales; Lachnospiraceae.
GCAGAGUAGGAAUAUGCGCGUUAAGUGCCGCCCGGACGGGGAGUUGCCGGGUGGACGAAGAGUAAUCAAGUGAGGACAUUUCCCAAUAGCAUGAUUACUUGCGGUGCACAUUCCGCAUCCCGCUGC